RNAcentral lists this transfer RNA (46 nucleotides) under Iberesia sp. CRBAMM000553. Its description in RNAcentral is "tRNA-Leu". The record is from RNAcentral. Lineage: Eukaryota; Metazoa; Arthropoda; Arachnida; Araneae; Nemesiidae.
UCUAUUGGCAGAUCACUGCAUUAGAAUUAGAAUCUAAUCACCCCAU